Molecule: ribosomal RNA, 253 nt
Filed under: uncultured bacterium
Lineage: Bacteria
Description: partial 16S ribosomal RNA
Rfam family: Bacterial small subunit ribosomal RNA
Source: RNAcentral
UACAUGGGGUGCAAACGUUGCUCGGAAUUAUUGGGCGUAAAGCGCGCGUAGGCGGUUACUCAAGUCGGAUGUGAAAGCCCUCGGCUUAACUGAGGAAGUGCACCCGAAACUGAGUAGCUAGAGUACCAAAGAGGGUCGCGGAAUUCCCGGUGUAGAGGUGAAAUUCGUAGAUAUCGGGAGGAACACCUGCGGCGAAGGCGGGUUGCUGGGCCGACACUGACGCUGAUGCGCGAAAGCCAGGGGAGCGAACGGG